RNAcentral lists this long non-coding RNA (1813 nucleotides) under Vigna radiata. Its description in RNAcentral is "long non-coding RNA (VRAD_LNC009428)". The record is from RNAcentral. Lineage: Eukaryota; Viridiplantae; Streptophyta; Magnoliopsida; Fabales; Fabaceae.
UCGCUUGCAUAUAUUAGUUUGUUUUGUGUCUUUUUUCCUACUUGUUUGUAAAAAGUCUAAAUAUUAUUGAUUUGAUUGUUGUAGCUUUGGGUUUGGGCGUGUUUUUUCUUUUCGUUCCUUAAAUUAUGGGACUUUGUUUAUGAGAGGCAAAGUUACUUUGUUCACUUUUGUGAUUUUUGGAGUUGUUAUUUGAUUGAGGUAAUGUCGAACAUUUUGAUUGGUAAUCUUAGUUCCAAACCAUCAUCCAUAUGCACCUUUCAAUAAAGCCUGAAAAAGAAGGUGAUGAAAGUUGUCAUACAUUAAAUCACUUACAUAAACAUUCAAUGUACUCUACGGAUAAAGAAAUAUAUAAAAUUGAACAUAAUAAAAUAAAAAAUUGAAUGUUCAUUUGGAAAUUUCCCGAAAAGUUCUUCCUUUACAACACAAAAAAAAAAAUUGGCCUUUGGGCUAAAUAAAUAAACUUCUCUAGAGGAUUUUUUAUUUUUUGGUGAACUUUUCUCUCAAGUUCACGAGCAUUGUUUUGGCGACCUCCAUUUGGUUCCCGCAAGCACAAGUUUGGGAUUAGGAGGAUGUACUAAUCUAUCCAACUUGUGGUGGCACCUGAAGAAGGCCAACCAACUUGCACACUAUGUUGCUGCUCCAUAAACUCCAUGGUUUGAUCUACUUUUUUCACUCAGGUUACUUUUUUUUCUAAUUCAACUUGGGCUUCCAAAUAUCUCACCACAAAAUUGAUGUUUAACUACCCGUAUUAUUUCAGGGCAAUCCACCCAAACAUGUCAAGAGUUCAAUUCUGUGAAACUUAUUGUUUUUUACAUUCUACGAUUCAAAAUUUCGGAAAUUACGUCCUUCAAUCAUGUUUUUUCAUCCCAUAUGGCAAAUAGUGUUUUGAAAUAGGAUAUUGAAAGUGAAAAACACUGACAUAAAAAAAGUAAAUUUGUAAAUUUAUAAAAUCCUAAUAAUAUUGAAAGAACAUUCAAACUGUAUACAAACUGUAGAUAUGUUAAGAAAAGAAAAGUUGUUCCAAUUCGCAAUUGUUCCCUUCCCUCUAUUUUAAAACUAACCAAUUAUCAUCAUUCUGUCGUUCUUUUUCCAAACCCUCAAAUUACCAUUUUCUAUAUAAGAAAAUAAUAAAAAAUAACAAGUUUAUAAAAUAAGAAAAAUAAGAUUUACAACCAUUUAAAUGUUAAUUAGUUAAAAAUGAUUUUAAAAAGUAUUUGAUCUUAUAAUGCUCAAAAGUGUUGAUUGUUCUUGGUUAGUUGUAUUGAUUUAUAAGUUCAAAAUUAACUGUUGCUUUUAGUUUUUAAAGAUAAAAAGGUCAAUUGAUUAAAUAAAUAUUAAAUUAUUAGUAAUAUAUCCUUUAUAAAUAAAUAUAUCUGUUCAACAUGCAUUCCAAAAUAUAUAAAAUACUGGAAAAAACUAAGGUCUCUUAUCCAAUUAUAGAUUUUUCUAAUAAAAGAAUAGAUUUAUUGAUUUUUACAACAAUUUCCUAAACAAAAUACCCGUUGUUAAGAGUGAAAAUACUUAAAAAUUAAAGUCAAAUUCAGAGAGCAGUUGACACAAGUAAAUUUGGUCCCCAUUGAAACAGCACACAGGAAAAUGCAGACAAAAGCAUAGACUGUAGCAGAUAUUUGAUACAAUGACAUAUUAAAUAAUAUGGCAUUAAUAUUAACUAACCUUCUCUGCGUUUUCUUCAUUUAGCUCGACACCAGUUUCUUCUUCACCAGCAAUUGGUUCUACUGUCACUAUAUCAGGAUCUUCUAAACGUUGAAAGAAGUGUUGAGAGAUUGAAAAUAAGAUAGAAAUCUAAACGUUG